UACUGUGUCAGAAAAACUAUUUCAUUAAAGAAUGAAGCAUCUGAAACUUUUCUCAAUUUUCCUAAUUUUCGGACUUUUGUACGUGACUUGUUCUGAGGGACGUGUAAUAAGAUUUCCUGGGGGUUGUCCACCAGUAUGUGCGAAUUAUUGUCCGUUCGGCAGAGUGUACAUCAAUGGAUGUCCCACUUGUACAUGCAAAGGACCUGGAGAUGGUGAUCCGCUAGACUGGAUACGAUAGAACUUUGUAUUUACAGCAAUUAAAGAACAACUUGUUCCUCA
Saccostrea echinata is the source of this 279-nucleotide long non-coding RNA. RefSeq lists it as uncharacterized. Lineage: Eukaryota; Metazoa; Mollusca; Bivalvia; Ostreida; Ostreidae. The transcript is spliced from 3 exons. The record is from RefSeq and is a predicted model, not a curated record.